RNAcentral lists this unclassified non-coding RNA (239 nucleotides) under Hevea brasiliensis (rubber tree). The record is from RNAcentral. Lineage: Eukaryota; Viridiplantae; Streptophyta; Magnoliopsida; Malpighiales; Euphorbiaceae.
GACUUGCAUUAAGGUUGCAAUCCUUCCGUACUUUUCUUCAAACUGUACCUUGACCUGAUCGGGAAGCGACCUCCAUCUACUAGACAGACCCUCGAGGUUGUUCAUUUUGACCUCUAUUUCAUCCAAAUCCAGUGAAGGUAGCGAGCUAGCAGGCGCCUUGAAAGCAUCAUUUUGGGAGGGUACCGGAACAUGAGCCGAUUCAGACCAAAGUUUAGCAUUCUGAACCUUUUCUGCCGACU